Molecule: unclassified non-coding RNA, 299 nt
Filed under: plant metagenome
Description: partial contains 5.8S ribosomal RNA, internal transcribed spacer 2, and large subunit ribosomal RNA
Rfam family: 5.8S ribosomal RNA (bases 1-105)
Source: RNAcentral
GAAAUGCGAUAAGUAAUGUGAAUUGCAGAAUUCAGUGAAUCAUCGAAUCUUUGAACGCACAUUGCGCCCGCCAGUAUUCUGGCAGGCAUGCCUGUCCGAGCGUCAUUUCACCCAUCAGGCCCCGCCUGUGUUGGGGCCCUGCGGCUGCGCGCAGGCCCUGAAAAGCAGUGGCGGACCCGCUGUCACCCCGAGCGUAGUAACUUACCCUCGCCCUGGGCGUGCUGUGGGCUCCAGCCGUUAAACCCCAACCUUACAAAGGUUGACCUCGGAUCAGGUAGGAAGACCCGCUGAACUUAAGC